UGGGGAAUUUUGCGCAAUGGGGGAAACCCUGACGCAGCAACGCCGCGUGGAGGAAGAAGGUUUUCGAAUCGUAAACUCCUGUCCGGAGGGACGAAAAAAAUGACGGUACCUCUGGAGGAAGCCCCGGCUAACUCCGUGCCAGCAGCCGCGGUAAUACGGGGGGGGCGAGCGUUGUUCGGAAUUACUGGGCGUAAAGGGCGCGUAGGCGGUUUCAGAAGUUUUGGGUGAGAGCCCCCGGCUCAACCGGGGAAGUGCCUGGAAAACCAUGGGACUGGAGUGCUGGAGAGGCAAGCGGAAUUUCUGGUGUAGCGGUGAAAUGCGUAGAUAUCAGAAGGAACAUCUGAGGCGAAGGCGGCUUGCUGGACAGACACUGACGCUGAGGCGCGAAAGCUAGGGGAGCAA
This 402-nucleotide ribosomal RNA is filed under the name uncultured bacterium. RNAcentral's name for it is "partial 16S ribosomal RNA". It matches the Rfam family "Bacterial small subunit ribosomal RNA", at positions 355 to 771 of the family's 1533-position model. The record is from RNAcentral.